CUAUGUAUGUUUUUAUGACUGACAGAUCCUGAAGCAAACAUGACUUUAAUAGCCAUCAUUAUUUGGACACUCACAACAUGCCUCUGCAGUUCUUUAGGGCAGGUUCUGACUCAGUCUGAAGAUCAAGCAGUGAAGCCUGAUCAGACUGUUACUAUUCAAUGUAAACAUGAACCAGCAGUGAACUGUAUUAAAGAAACAGGUAGCUCUCAGUAUUGCAUGUCCUGGUUUCAUCAGAUUCCUGGAGAACCUCCUAAACUCCUCAUUUAUGCCACAUCAGACAGAGCUUCAGGUGUUUCUUCUAGAUUCAGUGGCAGUGAAAGUGGAAACCACAUGGAUUUUACUCUGACCAUCAGUGGAGUCCAGCCUGAAGAUUCAGGAGUUUAUUACUGUCAGAGUAAACAUGACAAGGGAGUCUCUGGCACCACAGACUGGGUGUUCACACAGUGUGAAAUCAUCAUACAAAAACCUGUAGAUCAUUAUUCAUUUCACUGACUUUUCCCACAAACACACACAGAGAAGCUCUUUAAUGCUCUUGAUGUUCAUUAUUAUCACACUUUCCACAUUCUAUAUGAACACCAGGACGUGUCGGUCAGGUUUACACAUAAACUACAAUCCUAUGAAAUCCAUCCAGCCUCGAUGAAAGCACUCUCAUCACGGCCAAAGCAAAUGAUGCUUUAACUAACAAUAUCAAUGUCCCAGUUCGAUAUGAAAUAAGCCAGGAUGAUUUUGGUUUUAUUUUGUGUUUGUUAACAACCACAACAGGUUUCCCCUGAUAUUAAAUUAAAUAUAUAAGCUGUUCAUU
Molecule: non-coding RNA, 802 nt
Organism: Puntigrus tetrazona (Sumatra barb)
Lineage: Eukaryota; Metazoa; Chordata; Actinopteri; Cypriniformes; Cyprinidae
Source: the annotation of a RefSeq genome assembly